UACGAAGGGGGCUAGCGUUGCUCGGAUUGACUGGGCGUAAAGGGCGCGUAGGCGGUUCGUACAGUCAGACGUGAAAUUCCUGGGCUCAACCUGGGGGCUGCGUUUGAUACGUGCGGACUUGAGUGCGGAAGAGGGUCGUGGAAUUCCCAGUGUAGAGGUGAAAUUCGUAGAUAUUGGGAAGAACACCCGUGGCGAAGGCGGCUCUCUGGGACGGUACUGACGCUGAGACGCGAAAGCGUGGGGAGCGAACAGG
Molecule: ribosomal RNA, 253 nt
Filed under: uncultured bacterium
Lineage: Bacteria
Description: partial 16S ribosomal RNA
Rfam family: Bacterial small subunit ribosomal RNA
Source: RNAcentral